AAUCUGUCAAAGCUGCUAACAAGGAAGCUGAGGAGCAAGACAAGAGGGAUGGCUAUCGAUAGGCAUCGAAUAUCUCGGUGAGCUCCAUAUAUGCAAUCAUGAUAAACCAGUGAAUCAUGUCAUUUGUAGUUGUAAUUACCUGCAAACAAAUAAUUUCAUGUAUGAAGGUAUAUGUAAUAUGCCUCUGUAUAAUCAAAUACCAAUCACCCUAGAAGAAAGCCACACACCCUAGUAUGAAAAGAAUUAUUCAAACUUUUGAUGGAAAGAAGAAUUUGUCAACAUAUAUAUAUAUAUAUAUAUAUAUAUGGAGAAAUUGUUGGUGUUGAUCAGAAGGAGGAGAAAAUGUAACGCUGUCGGCAGAAAAGAGCACUUGGGUUGGAUUGACCAA
This is a non-coding RNA of Prunus mume (Japanese apricot), 388 nucleotides long. The record is from RefSeq and is a predicted model, not a curated record. NCBI's taxonomy places the organism in Eukaryota, Viridiplantae, Streptophyta, Magnoliopsida, Rosales, Rosaceae.